AUUUGUCUGGUUAAUUCCGAUAACGAACGAGACCUUAACCUGCUAACUAGUCACUUUUAUUCUUAUAGAUUUCGACUUCUUAGAGGGACUAUGCGUAUUAAGCGCAUGGAAGUUUGAGGCAAUAACAGGUCUGUGAUGCCCUUAUAUGUCCUGGGCUGCACGCGUGCUACACUGAUGCAUACAACAAGUGCCUAACCAGUCAUGGCUUGGCAAUCUCCAAUAUGUAUCGUGAUGGGGAUAGAUCUUUGCAAUUAUAGAUCUUGAACGAGGAAUUCCUAGUAAGUGCAAGUCAUCAUCUUGCAUUGAUUAUGUCCCUGCCCUUUGUACACACCGCCCGUCGCUCCUACCGAUACCGGGUGGUUCGGUGAACCUUUUGGACCUCUUCGGAGGAAAAAUAAGUAAAUCAUAUCACCUAGAGGAAGGAGAAGUCGUAACAAGGUUUCCGUAGGUGAACCUGCRGAAGGAUCA
RNAcentral lists this ribosomal RNA (468 nucleotides) under uncultured ciliate. RNAcentral describes it as "SSU rRNA". It matches the Rfam family "Eukaryotic small subunit ribosomal RNA". Lineage: Eukaryota; Ciliophora. The record is from RNAcentral.